AUUGAACGCUGGCGGCAUGCUUUACACAUGCAAGUCGAACGGCAGCGCGGGGCAACCUGGCGGCGAGUGGCGAACGGGUGAGUAAUAUAUCGGAACGUACCCAGAAGUGGGGGAUAACGUAGCGAAAGUUACGCUAAUACCGCAUACGAUCUACGGAUGAAAGUGGGGGACCUUCGGGCCUCAUGCUUGUGGAGCGGCCGAUAUCUGAUUAGCUAGUUGGUAGGGUAAAGGCCUACCAAGGCGACGAUCAGUAGCUGGUCUGAGAGGACGACCAGCCACACUGGGACUGAGACACGGCCCAGACUCCUACGGGAGGCAGCAGUGGGGAAUUUUGGACAAUGGGGGAAACCCUGAUCCAGCAACGCUGCGUGAGGGAUGAAGGUCUUCGGAUCGUAAACCUCUUUUCUAGGGGACGAAUACCCGCAAGGGCUUGACGGUACCGUAAGAAUAAGCACCGGCUAACUACGUGCCAGCCGCCGCCGUAA
Molecule: ribosomal RNA, 485 nt
Filed under: uncultured bacterium
Lineage: Bacteria
Description: partial 16S ribosomal RNA
Rfam family: Bacterial small subunit ribosomal RNA
Source: RNAcentral